RNAcentral lists this ribosomal RNA (458 nucleotides) under uncultured bacterium. RNAcentral's name for it is "partial 16S ribosomal RNA". It matches the Rfam family "Bacterial small subunit ribosomal RNA", at positions 338 to 795 of the family's 1533-position model. The record is from RNAcentral.
CCUACGGGUGGCAGCAGUGAGGAAUAUUGGUCAAUGGGCGAGAGCCUGAACCAGCCAAGUCGCGUGAGGGAGUACUGCCCUAUGGGUUGUAAACCUCUUUUGUCGGGGAGCAAAAGCCGGACGUGUCCGGCUGUGAGAGUACUCGAAGAAUAAGCAUCGGCUAACUCCGUGCCAGCAGCCGCGGUAAUACGGAGGAUGCGAGCGUUAUCCGGAUUUAUUGGGUUUAAAGGGUGCGCAGGCGGAUUUUUAAGUCAGCGGUAAAAUCGUGGGGCUCAACCCCAUCCAGCCGUUGAAACUGGGGAUCUAGAGUGUGCGAGAGGUAAGCGGAAGGCGUGGUGUAGCGGUGAAAUGCAUAGAUAUCACGCAGAACCCCGAUUGCGAAGGCAGCAGACCGGUGCACAACUGACGCUCAGGCACGAAAGCGUGGGUAUCGAACAGGAUUAGAUACCCGAGUAGUC